GACGUAGGGGGCGAGCGUUAUCCGGAUUCACUGGGCGUAAAGGGCGCGUAGGCGGUUACGUAAGUCCGGCGUGAAAUAUCCCGGCUCAACUGGGAGGGUGCGUCGGAUACUGCGUUGACUUGAGGACGGUAGAGGCAGAUGGAACUAGCGGUGUAGCGGUGAAAUGCGCAGAUAUCGCUAGGAACGCCGGUGGCGAAGGCGAUCUGCUGGGCCGUUCCUGACGCUGAUGCGCGAAAGCUAGGGGA
Molecule: ribosomal RNA, 245 nt
Filed under: uncultured Eggerthella sp.
Lineage: Bacteria; Bacillati; Actinomycetota; Coriobacteriia; Eggerthellales; Eggerthellaceae
Description: partial 16S ribosomal RNA
Rfam family: Bacterial small subunit ribosomal RNA
Source: RNAcentral